UACGUAGGGUGCAAGCGUUUGUCCGGAAUUAUUGGGCGUAAAGAGCUCGUAGGCGGUCUGUCGCGUCGGCUGUGAAAACCCGGAGCUCAACUCCGGGCCUGCAGUCGAUACGGGCAGACUGGAGUUCGGCAGGGGAGACUGGAAUUCCUGGUGUAGCGGUGAAAUGCGCAGAUAUCAGGAGGAACACCGGUGGCGAAGGCAGAUCUCUGGGACGUUACUGACGCUGAGACGCGAAAGCGUGGGGAGCAAACAGGAUUAG
Molecule: ribosomal RNA, 259 nt
Filed under: uncultured bacterium
Lineage: Bacteria
Description: partial 16S ribosomal RNA
Rfam family: Bacterial small subunit ribosomal RNA
Source: RNAcentral